This is a long non-coding RNA of Photinus pyralis (common eastern firefly), 494 nucleotides long. RefSeq lists it as uncharacterized. The record is from RefSeq and is a predicted model, not a curated record. NCBI's taxonomy places the organism in Eukaryota, Metazoa, Arthropoda, Insecta, Coleoptera, Lampyridae. The transcript is spliced from 3 exons.
CCUACUCAUCUGAGAAAGGAGUCGCGGCAGGAAAUUUAUAGUUUGUGAGAGCGGGAGAGUUAUUUCGGCUAAAUUAAUGCAAUUUCUUGUGUAAAAAAAACGUUAACCAUGUGUGUUAUAGAUCCAUCCUUGUCUAGGGGAGUGCUAACCGUCUCUCCUUUCAUACAACACAAAAGAGUGCUUCCGUUAUUCGGUAUAUCUACAAACAGUAUCUAGAAGACCACAUGUGAGAGCUACCUACAGAGAUUCAUGGUAAAUGGGCAACAGUUACAGCUACAACUAAAAAUUACCGAAACUAUUACAUAGAAGCGGCACACUUCGAAAGAAAUUUGAGUGCCGGGACGUUUUCAUGAUGAGUCCGACUAUGUAAUAGGUAGGCAACACGUCAGGCCCAUUAUAAAGAAAGGUGGAGAAAAGAACAGAUGCCAGAAAGCUGGAGAAUGCUCUCAUAAUUUCCUUGUACAAAAAACACAUAUAUUUACUUGAUGCAAAGA